GCCCCUGCAACCCUCCUUCCUCCUCCCCAACACUAGAGUUUUUAGUUGUCAUAUCCAAUUCUGUCUUCCUAAGAAGCUGAAUCCUAUCCCUCAACCUGUCAUGCCUCUAUCACUGGGGACCUGCUUCAGUGAGAAUGAUCUUUAACCAGAAAUCAAGAUAGCCCAUCACCUAAUCAAAUGAGGUCUCCCUAUGUUGCCUAGACUGGUCUUGAACUCUUGGGAUCAAGUGAUCCACCCGCCUCCACCUCCCCAAGUCCUGGGAUUACAGGCUUGGACCACCAAACCUCGUGAGUUUGAAUAUGCAUUCAAGAGGUUAAGUGCUCAAAGCAUGUGGUUCACAGAACAACCAAAACACAUGGAGUCUGCUGGGAUUCAAAUCCAGGUUCUGCAACUCACAAGGCACAACAAAGCAUUGAAGGAAUACAUGCCACAAUGGGAACUGUUCAAAAGCCUGACAAUGUGCAAUUAGCAUGGUUCUCAACACUGUUUACCCUUGCAGAAGUUACCUGUCAUUCUCCAGUACUCCCAGCUAUAAAGUUUAA
Molecule: long non-coding RNA, 542 nt
Organism: Pan troglodytes (chimpanzee)
Lineage: Eukaryota; Metazoa; Chordata; Mammalia; Primates; Hominidae
Exons: 3
Source: RefSeq, a predicted model, not a curated record